RNAcentral lists this ribosomal RNA (253 nucleotides) under uncultured bacterium. Its description in RNAcentral is "partial 16S ribosomal RNA". It matches the Rfam family "Bacterial small subunit ribosomal RNA", at positions 524 to 776 of the family's 1533-position model. The record is from RNAcentral.
UACGAAGGGGGCUAGCGUUGCUCGGAAUCACUGGGCGUAAAGGGUGCGUAGGCGGGUCUUUAAGUCAGGGGUGAAAUCCUGGAGCUCAACUCCAGAACUGCCUUUGAUACUGAGGAUCUUGAGUUCGGGAGAGGUGAGUGGAACUGCGAGUGUAGAGGUGAAAUUCGUAGAUAUUCGGAAGAACACCAGUGGCGAAGGCGACUCACUGGACACGUAUUGACGCUGAGGUGCGAAAGCGUGGGGAGCAAACAGG